GUCCUAGCUGUAAACGAUGAUAACUAGGUGUGGGUGGUAUCGACCCCUUCCGCGCCGUCGCUAACGCAUUAAGUUAUCCGCCUGGGGAGUACGGCCGCAAGGUUAAAACUCAAAGGAAUUGACGGGGGCCCGCACAAGCGGUGGAGCAUGUGGUUCAAUUCGACGCUACGCGAAGAACCUUACCUGGGCUCGAACGACUGGUAGUAGUCCCGAUGAAAGUUGGGGCGACCCGCAAGGGAGCCAGCCGAGGUGCUGCAUGGCUGUCGU
Molecule: ribosomal RNA, 267 nt
Filed under: uncultured bacterium
Lineage: Bacteria
Description: partial 16S ribosomal RNA
Rfam family: Bacterial small subunit ribosomal RNA
Source: RNAcentral